AUUGAACGCUGGCGGCAGGCCUAACACAUGCAAGUCGAGCGGAUGAAGGGAGCUUGCUCCUGGAAUCAGCGGCGGACGGGUGAGUAAUGCCUAGGAAUCUGCCUGGUAGUGUGGGAUAACGUCCGGAAACGGGCGCUAAUACCGCAUACGUCCUGCGGGAGAAAGUGGGGGAUCUUCGGACUUCACGCUAUCAGAUGAGCCUAGGUCGGAUUAGCUAGUUGGUGGGGUAAAGGCCUACCAAGGCGACGAUCCGUAACUGGUCUGAGAGGAUGAUCAGUCACACUGGAACUGAGACACGGUCCAGACUCCUACGGGAGGCAGCAGUGGGGAAUAUUGGACAAUGGGCGAAAGCCUGAUCCAGCCAUGCCGCGUGUGUGAAGAAGGUCUUCGGAUUGUAAAGCACUUUAAGUUGGGAGGAAGGGCAGUAAGUUAAUACCUUGCUGUUUUGACGUUACCAACAGAAUAAGCACCGGCUAACUUCGUG
Molecule: ribosomal RNA, 484 nt
Filed under: uncultured bacterium
Lineage: Bacteria
Description: partial 16S ribosomal RNA
Rfam family: Bacterial small subunit ribosomal RNA
Source: RNAcentral